CAUAGCAUGGGCCGUGCAUCACUCAGAC
Molecule: non-coding RNA, 28 nt
Filed under: Mus musculus (house mouse)
Lineage: Eukaryota; Metazoa; Chordata; Mammalia; Rodentia; Muridae
Source: RNAcentral